RNAcentral lists this ribosomal RNA (945 nucleotides) under uncultured crenarchaeote. RNAcentral describes it as "bacterial SSU rRNA". It matches the Rfam family "Archaeal small subunit ribosomal RNA", at positions 1 to 922 of the family's 1478-position model. The record is from RNAcentral. Lineage: Archaea; Thermoproteati; Thermoproteota.
UUCCGGUUGAUCCUGCCGGACCCUACUGCUAUCGGGGUGGGACUAAGACAUGCGAGUCUUGCGUCUCUAGGCCAUGGUGGAGACGCGGCAUACGGCUCAGUAACACGUGGCUAACCUACCCUUAGGACGGGGACAACCCCGGGAAACUGGGGACUAUCCCCGAUGGGUGAGGAGGCCUGGAAUGGUUCCUCGCCGAAAAGGCGUUGAGACCAUGCCUUUUAACGUCGCCUAAGGAUGGGGCCGCGGCCGAUCAGGUUGUUGGUGAGGCAACGGCUCACCAAGCCUAUAACCGGUACGGGCCGUGAGAGCGGGAGCCCGGAGAUGGGCACUUAGAUAAGGGCCCAGGCCCUACGGGGCGCAGCAGUCGCGAAAACUCCGCAAUGCGCGAAAGCGUGACGGGGCUACCCCGAGUGCCGUCCGCUGAGGAUGGCUUUUCCCCGGUGUAAUGAGCCGGGGGAAUAAGGAGAGGGCAAGUCUGGUGUCAGCCGCCGCGGUAAUACCAGCUCUCUGAGUGGUAGGGAUGAUUAUUGGGCUUAAAGCGUCCGUAGCCGGCCCGGUAAGUCUCCCGUUAAAUCCAGCGACUCAAUCGUUGGACUGCGGGAGAUACUGUUGGGCUAGGGGGUGGGAGAGGCCGACGGUAUUCCCGGGGUAGGGGUGAAAUCCUAUAAUCCCGGGAGGACCACCAGUGGCGUAGGCUGUCGGCUAGAACACGCUCGACGGUGAGGGACGAAAGCUGGGGGAGCAAAUCGGAUUAGAUACCCGAGUAGUCCCAGCCGUAAACGAUGCGGGCUAGGUGUUGGGGUGGCUACGGGCCACUCCAGUGCCGCAGGGAAGCCAUUAAGCCCGCCGCCUGGGGAGUACGGCCGCAAGGCUGAAACUUAAAGGAAUUGGCGGGGGAGCACCACAAGGCGUGAAGCUUGCGGUUCAAUUGGAGUCAACGCCGGA